This 468-nucleotide ribosomal RNA is filed under the name uncultured bacterium. RNAcentral's name for it is "partial 16S ribosomal RNA". It matches the Rfam family "Bacterial small subunit ribosomal RNA", at positions 28 to 507 of the family's 1533-position model. The record is from RNAcentral.
GAUGAACGCUGGCGGCGUGCUUAACACAUGCAAGUCGAACGGAAAGGCCCAAGCUUGCUUGGGUACUCGAGUGGCGAACGGGUGAGUAACACGUGGGUGAUCUGCCCUGCACUUCGGGAUAAGCCUGGGAAACUGGGUCUAAUACCGGAUAGGACGAUGGUUUGGAUGCCAUUGUGGAAAGUUUUUUCGGUGUGGGAUGAGCUCGCGGCCUAUCAGCUUGUUGGUGGGGUAAUGGCCUACCAAGGCGUCGACGGGUAGCCGGCCUGAGAGGGUGUACGGCCACAUUGGGACGGAGAUACGGCCCAGACUCCUACGGGAGGCAGCAGUGGGGAAUAUUGCACAAUGGGCGCAAGCCUGAUGCAGCGACGCCGCGUGGGGGAUGACGGCCUUCGGGUUGUAAACUCCUUUCGCUAGGGACGAAGCGUUUUUGUGACGGUACCUGGAGAAGAAGCACCGGCUAACUACGUG